UACGGAGGAUGCAAGCGUUAUCCGGAAUGAUUGGGCGUAAAGCGUCCGCAGGUGGCAAUGUAAGUCUGCUGUUAAAGAGUCUAGCUCAACUAGAUAAAAGCAGUGGAAACUGCAUAGCUAGAGUACGUUCGGGGCAGAGGGAAUUCCUGGUGUAGCGGUGAAAUGCGUAGAGAUCAGGAAGAACACCAGUGGCGAAGGCGCUCUGCUAGGCCGUAACUGACACUGAGGGACGAAAGCUAGGGGAGCGAAUGGG
RNAcentral lists this ribosomal RNA (253 nucleotides) under uncultured bacterium. RNAcentral's name for it is "partial 16S ribosomal RNA". It matches the Rfam family "Bacterial small subunit ribosomal RNA", at positions 524 to 776 of the family's 1533-position model. The record is from RNAcentral.